Molecule: long non-coding RNA, 488 nt
Filed under: Hordeum vulgare
Lineage: Eukaryota; Viridiplantae; Streptophyta; Magnoliopsida; Poales; Poaceae
Description: long non-coding RNA (HVUL_LNC006590)
Source: RNAcentral
GAAAAAGAAAGCAUCGUCGUAGAACAGCAAAGGCAGUCCUAUCACCGGAGACCAAGAACAAUACUUGGAAAAAAUAGGAUCAGGAAGUUCAGUAGACGAGGAGGAAGAAGGAAGAUUUCAAGGCGCAGCUCAUGUCAAAUUCACUGUAAAGGUGAACAAUACCAGCCAAGAAUUACAGUUCCUAAUAAUUUCUUUUAAAAGAAUUAUAAUUAGUGCACAAAGAAGAAAAUACAGUCCCUAAUGAUUUAUUUUUAGUUUGAACAACAGCUUGAAACAAAUGAUAGUACUGACGUCUUAGUCAUAGGUGAACAAUCAGAAGAGGUCAACAAACAAAACAUAUCACUACGAAAACAUUCACACAUCAAUAAAGAUGUAUCUAUCACUGGUAUUUAAAAUUAACUCUUUCUUUGAACAGCCGCAUGAUAAAGAAGAGCAACAAACAACAGGAUAUCAGGAGGCGGCACCGGCGACAACAACCAAAGAUGCGG